RNAcentral lists this ribosomal RNA (481 nucleotides) under uncultured bacterium. Its description in RNAcentral is "partial 16S ribosomal RNA". It matches the Rfam family "Bacterial small subunit ribosomal RNA", at positions 28 to 523 of the family's 1533-position model. The record is from RNAcentral.
GACGAACGCUGGCGGCGUGCUUAACACAUGCAAGUCGAACGAUGAAGGAGAGCUUGCUCUCCGGAUUAGUGGCGAACGGGUGAGUAACACGUGACUAACCUGCCCCUUUCUCUGGGAUAACGCUCCGAAAGGAGUGCUAAUACCGGAUACGAACUCUGAACACAUGUUCGGAGUUGGAAAGUUUUUCGGAAAGGGAUGGAGUCGCGGCCUAUCAGCUUGUUGGUGAGGUAACGGCUCACCAAGGCGACGACGGGUAGCCGGCCUGAGAGGGCGACCGGCCACGCUGGGACUUGGACACGGCCCAGACUCCUACGGGAGGCAGCAGUGGGGAAUAUUGCACAAUGGGCGAAAGCCUGAUGCAGCGACGCCGCGUGAGGGAUGAGGGUCUUCGGAUUGUAAACCUCUUUCAGUAGGGACGAAGCGAAAGUGACGGUACCUAAAGAAGAAGCACCGGCUAACUACGUGCCAGCAGCCGCCGUAA